UUCGUUCUGGGACGGGCCCGCGCCUCCUCGGACGAGGCGCGGCGCGCGUUGCUGCACGCGCAGGACAGGGC
Molecule: transfer RNA, 71 nt
Filed under: Bifidobacteriaceae bacterium MCC01983
Lineage: Bacteria; Bacillati; Actinomycetota; Actinomycetes; Bifidobacteriales; Bifidobacteriaceae
Also listed under: 1 other name
Description: tRNA-Pro
Source: RNAcentral